CCUACGGGAGGCAGCAGUGGGGAAUAUUGCACAAUGGGGGAAACCCUGAUGCAGCGACGCCGCGUGAGGGAAGAAGUAUCUCGGUACGUAAAGCUCUAUCAGCAGGGAAGAUAAUGACGGUACCUGACUAAGAAGCCCCGGCUAACUACGUGCCAGCAGCCGCGGUAAUACGUAGGGUGCAAGCGUUACUCGGAUUUACUGGGCGUAAAGAGCGCGUAGACGGCAGCACAAGUCUGGAGUGAAAUCCCGGGGCUUAACCCUGGAACUGCUUUGGAAACUGUGCGGCUGGAGUGCAGGAGGGGUAAGUGGAAUUCUUAGUGUAGCGGUGAAAUGCGUAGAGAUUAAGAGGAACAC
Molecule: ribosomal RNA, 354 nt
Filed under: uncultured bacterium
Lineage: Bacteria
Description: partial 16S ribosomal RNA
Rfam family: Bacterial small subunit ribosomal RNA
Source: RNAcentral